RNAcentral lists this ribosomal RNA (484 nucleotides) under uncultured bacterium. Its description in RNAcentral is "partial 16S ribosomal RNA". It matches the Rfam family "Bacterial small subunit ribosomal RNA", at positions 30 to 507 of the family's 1533-position model. The record is from RNAcentral.
AUUGAACGCUGGCGGCAGGCCUAACACAUGCAAGUCGAGCGGAUGAAGGGAGCUUGCUCCUGGAUUCAGCGGCGGACGGGUGAGUAAUGCCUAGGAAUCUGCCUGGCAGUGGGGGAUAACGUCCGGAAACGGGCGCUAAUACCGCAUACGUCCUGAGGGAGAAAGUGGGGGAUCUUCGGACCUCACGCUAUCAGAUGAGCCUAGGUCGGAUUAGCUAGUUGGUGGGGUAAAGGCCUACCAAGGCGACGAUCCGUAACUGGUCUGAGAGGAUGAUCAGUCACACUGGAACUGAGACACGGUCCAGACUCCUACGGGAGGCAGCAGUGGGGAAUAUUGGACAAUGGGCGAAAGCCUGAUCCAGCCAUGCCGCGUGUGUGAAGAAGGUCUUCGGAUUGUAAAGCACUUUAAGUUGGGAGGAAGGGCAGUAAGUUAAUACCUUGGUGUUUUGACGUUACCAACAGAAUAAGCACCGGCUAACUUCGUG